GACGAACGCUGGCGGCGUGCCUAAUACAUGCAAGUCGAGCGAAGUUUUUCUGGUGCUUGCACUAGAAAAACUUAGCGGCGAACGGGUGAGUAACACGUAAAGAACCUGCCUCAUAGACGGGGACAACUAUUGGAAACGAUAGCUAAUACCGGAUAACAGCAUAAAUCGCAUGAUAUAUGUUUGAAAGUUGGUUUCGGCUAACACUAUGAGAUGGCUUUGCGGUGCAUUAGCUAGUUGGUGGGGUAAAGGCCUACCAAGGCGACGAUGCAUAGCCGACCUGAGAGGGUGAUCGGCCACACUGGGACUGAGACACGGCCCAGACUCCUACGGGAGGCAGCAGUAGGGAAUCUUCCGCAAUGGGCGAAAGCCUGACGGAGCAACGCCGCGUGAGUGAAGAAGGAUUUCGGUUCGUAAAGCUCUGUUGUUAGGGAAGAAUGAUUGUGUAGUAACUAUACACAGUAGAGACGGUACCUAACCAGAAAGCCACGGCUAACUACGUGCCAGCAGCCGCGGUAAUACGUAGGUGGCAAGCGUUGUCCGGAAUUAUUGGGCGUAAAGCGCGCGCAGGUGGUUUAAUAAGUCUGAUGUGAAAGCCCACGGCUCAACCGUGGAGGGUCAUUGGAAACUGUUAAACUUGAGUGCAGGAGAGAAAAGUGGAAUUCCUAGUGUAGCGGUGAAAUGCGUAGAGAUUAGGAGGAACACCAGUGUCGAAGGCGGCUUUUUUGGCCUGUAACUGACACUGAGGCGCGAAAAGCGUGGGGGAGGAAACAGG
Molecule: ribosomal RNA, 772 nt
Filed under: uncultured bacterium
Lineage: Bacteria
Description: bacterial SSU rRNA
Rfam family: Bacterial small subunit ribosomal RNA
Source: RNAcentral